CCGCUUAUAUUGAAAAGCUAGAAAUACCUUGAAAAUUACAACAUUCCUUGGCAGAUUUACAGUACAAAUAAAUUCAAGAGAACUCGAUAGAGAAAUGCAAAAAUUAAUGACAACCACUGAAUUACAGGCUCCUGAUUAGGAACAGGCACAUACCAUGCAUACCUAAUGCAGUGGGAUUUUUCAUUUAUAAAUUACAAAACGUGAAUAUCCAUGUCUUUAUUUUCUUGUUAUGUCUUUAUGUUCACUGUCCCUAUGCUUCUGGCUUUGCCUUUCCUGUUUUCCCAUUCUGUGAAGCGUUGCAUUCCAUAUUUCAAUAUAUCCAUCAUUUUGUAAACAGUUAUCAUUAAUCUCAAGUACAAGAAUACCAGAUAAAGAUAUCGUAAUUGAAAACUCGGUACGAUU
RNAcentral lists this long non-coding RNA (402 nucleotides) under Mytilus galloprovincialis (Mediterranean mussel). The record is from RNAcentral. Lineage: Eukaryota; Metazoa; Mollusca; Bivalvia; Mytilida; Mytilidae.